RNAcentral lists this ribosomal RNA (241 nucleotides) under Mycena sp. RNAcentral describes it as "partial large subunit ribosomal RNA". Lineage: Eukaryota; Fungi; Basidiomycota; Agaricomycetes; Agaricales; Mycenaceae. The record is from RNAcentral.
AAACGCUUGAAGUCAGUCGCGUUGUGCGGGAUUCAGCCUGGCUUUUGCUUGGUUUACUUCCUGUAUGACGGGUCAGCAUCAGUUUUGAGCGGUGGAUAAGGGCGUAGGGAAUGUGGCAUCUUCGGAUGUGUUAUAGCCUUGCGUCGUAUACAUCGCUUGGGACUGAGGAACUCAGCACGCCGCAAGGCCGGGUUUUUAACCACGUUCGUGCUUAGGAUGCUGGCAUAAUGGCUUUAAUCGA